UUUAACGGCUGCGGUAUUUUGACCGUGCUAAGGUAGCAUAAUCAAUUGUUUUUUAAUUGAAAACUAGUAUGAACGGUUUAAUUUACUUAAUUAGUUUGUAAUUUUUAAUAGUAAGUUAAAUAUAAAGUAAGAAUUCUUUAAUAAAUUAGGGGACGAUAAGACCCUAAAAGCUUUAUGAUUGGCAUUUAAUUGGUGAUAGCGGUGUUAUUAAUUCACUGGGGCAGUGAGUUUAGGUAUAUUUAAGUAUAAUUAAAAGCUCCUUUAAAUAAAGAUUUCAUGUAUAAGUUACUUUAGGGAUAACAGUGCAAUAUAUU
RNAcentral lists this ribosomal RNA (314 nucleotides) under Dikerogammarus haemobaphes. RNAcentral's name for it is "partial 16S ribosomal RNA". The record is from RNAcentral. Lineage: Eukaryota; Metazoa; Arthropoda; Malacostraca; Amphipoda; Gammaridae.